GAUGAACGCUGGCUACAGGCCUAACACAUGCAAGUCGAGGGGCAGCGGGGGCAGAGCUUGCUCUGCCUGCCGGCGACCGGCGCACGGGUGCGUAACGCGUAUCGAACCUCCCCCAUGCUCGGGAAUAGCCUUGCGAAAGUAAGAUUAAUGCCCGAUGGUCUCAGAAUAUGACAUCAUGCUUUGAGUAAAGAUUCAUCGGUAUGGGAUGGCGAUGCGUCUGAUUAGAUAGUUGGCGGGGUAACGGCCCACCAAGUCGUCGAUCAGUAGGGGUCCUGAGAGGAAGGUCCCCCACAUUGGAACUGAGACACGGUCCAAACUCCUACGGGAGGCAGCAGUGAGGAAUAUUGGUCAAUGGUCGGAAGACUGAACCAGCCAAGUAGCGUGAAGGAUGACUGCCCUACGGGUUGUAAACUUCUUUUAUGCGGGAAUAAAGUGCCCCACGCGUGGGGUAUUGCAUGUACCGCGUGAAUAAGCAUCGGCUAAUUCCGUGCCAGCCGCCGCGGUAAAAC
Molecule: ribosomal RNA, 509 nt
Filed under: uncultured bacterium
Lineage: Bacteria
Description: bacterial SSU rRNA
Rfam family: Bacterial small subunit ribosomal RNA
Source: RNAcentral